RNAcentral lists this unclassified non-coding RNA (414 nucleotides) under Melitaea cinxia (Glanville fritillary). RNAcentral describes it as "misc RNA ENSMCXG00005014712.1". The record is from RNAcentral. Lineage: Eukaryota; Metazoa; Arthropoda; Insecta; Lepidoptera; Nymphalidae.
AAAAUCUAUCGAAAAUGUUGUUAAGAACAAGAAUUUGUACGUUUUUAUUAUAGUGAUGCGAGUGCUGAAGAGCGAGAGAGACGCAACGCAGCUGUACGAGAAUCGCCUCCAGGUGCAGACGUUGUUGAGUCUUCACAGUCAUGGUGGGGCCAGUGGUGGGCAAGUUCUGGAGAAGGGGGUGACGCCAUAUCAAAAAUGUGGCUGUAUGGCAGCACAGCCGCACUCAUGGGCUUAAUAACUCUUUUGUAUAAGAAUGUUGAUAAAUUAAAGACAUUGGUGUGGAAAACGAAAACAUGCGAAACUAAGAUUGUCAAAAGCAAACCAUCUGCAGAAAAAAUCAAGCUCUGCAUUUGCAAAGAUUAAACUAACAACUGGCGACAACAUUUUAAUAAUAAAUAUAAUAUGUUUAAUUUA